AUACUUACCUGACGCUGGGAUAUCUGUGAUCAUCAUGGCAGACUCCCCGAGGUGAGACUCGAUCAUUGCACUGCGAUCGAGUUGACCCUUGCGAAUAUCCCUAAUGUGGAUAUCUCGGGCGUAUUAUUUUUGGUAGCUGGGACUGCGUACGCGCUAUCCCGA
Copidosoma floridanum is the source of this 162-nucleotide small nuclear RNA. RefSeq annotates it as U1 spliceosomal RNA. NCBI's taxonomy places the organism in Eukaryota, Metazoa, Arthropoda, Insecta, Hymenoptera, Encyrtidae. The record is from RefSeq and is a predicted model, not a curated record.